ACAUAUAUCAAUUAAGGGCAGGGUAAUAAAAAUCCAGUUAACCGACCGUUCCUAGAGCAAGUGGCAAAGGGCUUGGUGGUUGGCACCCGAGACUCAAGUUCAAAUCCUAGCUGAUUAACAUUUCUAACUAAGUUUAUUUCUAAAUGAAAUAAACGAAGCGGGUAGCGUGUUACCUAUCUCUCAAAAAAAUAAAAGCCCAGAUAGUGUUUUG
RNAcentral lists this long non-coding RNA (211 nucleotides) under Ananas comosus (pineapple). RNAcentral describes it as "long non-coding RNA (ACOM_LNC031748)". Lineage: Eukaryota; Viridiplantae; Streptophyta; Magnoliopsida; Poales; Bromeliaceae. The record is from RNAcentral.